This is a non-coding RNA of Streptomyces violaceusniger Tu 4113, 75 nucleotides long. Lineage: Bacteria; Bacillati; Actinomycetota; Actinomycetes; Kitasatosporales; Streptomycetaceae. The record is from Rfam.
CUUGAUGGACCCCAGCCACAGCGGGCGUCCCUCGUCCCGCUCCUGCCCGUACGUGGCCAGCAGCGCCUGGGCCUC